RNAcentral lists this ribosomal RNA (253 nucleotides) under uncultured bacterium. RNAcentral describes it as "partial 16S ribosomal RNA". It matches the Rfam family "Bacterial small subunit ribosomal RNA", at positions 524 to 776 of the family's 1533-position model. The record is from RNAcentral.
GACAGAGGCCUCGAGCGUUAGGCGGAAUCACUGGGCUUAAAGCGUGUGUAGGCGGGCCCGUAAGUGUCUUGUGAAAUCCCACGGCUCAACCGUGGAACUGCUGGGCAUACUGCGGGUCUUGGGCCAACUAGGGGCAGCCGGAACAAGCGGUGGAGCGGUGAAAUGCGUAGAUAUCGCUUGGAACGCCGAAGGUGAAAACAGGCUGCUGGGGUUGUGCCGACGCUGAGACACGAAAGCCAGGGGAGCAAACGGG